This 645-nucleotide ribosomal RNA is filed under the name uncultured Actinomycetes bacterium. RNAcentral's name for it is "bacterial SSU rRNA". It matches the Rfam family "Bacterial small subunit ribosomal RNA", at positions 337 to 974 of the family's 1533-position model. Lineage: Bacteria; Bacillati; Actinomycetota; Actinomycetes. The record is from RNAcentral.
UCCUACGGGAGGCAGCAGUGGGGAAUCUUGCGCAAUGGGCGAAAGCCUGACGCAGCGACGCCGCGUGCGGGAAGAAGGCCUUCGGGUUGUAAACCGCUUUCAGGAGGGACGAAGCCACUCGGGUUAAUAGCCCAGAGGGUGACGGUACCUCCAGAAGAAGCCCCGGCUAACUACGUGCCAGCAGCCGCGGUAAUACGUAGGGGGCGAGCGUUGUCCGGAUUUAUUGGGCGUAAAGAGCGCGUAGGCGGCCACGUAAGUCCGACGUGAAAUCUGGAGGCUCAACCUCCAGCGGUCGUUGGAAACUACAUGGCUAGAGUCCGGAAGAGGAGAGUGGAAUUCCUGGUGUAGCGGUGAAAUGCGCAGAUAUCAGGAAGAACACCGAUGGCGAAAGCAGCUCUCUGGGACGGUACUGACGCUGAGGCGCGAAAGCGUGGGGAGCGAACAGGAUUAGAUACCCUGGUAGUCCACGCCGUAAACGAUGGGUGCUAGGUGUGGGCGGUGUCGACUCCGCCCGUGCCGAAGCUAACGCAUUAAGCACCCCGCCUGGGGAGUACGGCCGCAAGGCUAAAACUCAAAGGAAUUGACGGGGGCCCGCACAAGCAGCGGAGCAUGUGGUUUAAUUCGACGCAACGCGAAGAACCUUAC